Molecule: ribosomal RNA, 502 nt
Filed under: uncultured bacterium
Lineage: Bacteria
Description: partial 16S ribosomal RNA
Rfam family: Bacterial small subunit ribosomal RNA
Source: RNAcentral
GACGAACGCUGGCGGCGUGCCUAAUACAUGCAAGUCGAACGAACCGCGACUGAGUGCUUGCACUUGGUCAAGGUGAGUGGCGAACGGGUGAGUAACACGUGGGUAACCUACCUCAUAGUGGGGGAUAACAGUCGGAAACGACUGCUAAUACCGCAUAGGACAUAGGAUCACAUGAUCCAGUGAGGAAAGGUGGCGCAAGCUAUCGCUAAGAGAUGGACCCGCGGUGCAUUAGCUAGUUGGUAGGGUAAAGGCCUACCAAGGCGAUGAUGCAUAGCCGACCUGAGAGGGUGAUCGGCCACAUUGGGACUGAGACACGGCCCAAACUCCUACGGGAGGCAGCAGUAGGGAAUCUUCCGCAAUGGACGCAAGUCUGACGGAGCAACGCCGCGUGAGUGAAGAAGGUCUUCGGAUCGUAAAGCUCUGUUGUUAGGGAAGAACAGCGCAUAGAGUAACUGCUAUGCGUGUGACGGUAUCUAACCAGAAAGCCACGGCUAACUACGUG